RNAcentral lists this ribosomal RNA (366 nucleotides) under uncultured Paracoccaceae bacterium. RNAcentral describes it as "bacterial SSU rRNA". It matches the Rfam family "Bacterial small subunit ribosomal RNA", at positions 543 to 912 of the family's 1533-position model. The record is from RNAcentral. Lineage: Bacteria; Pseudomonadati; Pseudomonadota; Alphaproteobacteria; Rhodobacterales; Paracoccaceae.
UAACGGAUACUGGGCGUAAGCGCACGCAGGCGGUAUUGUUAAGUUAGAUGUGAAUCCCGGAGCUCAACUCUGGAACUGCCUUUGAUACUGGCAGACUUGAGUCCGGGAGAGGUGAGUGGAAUUCCUAGUGUAGCGGUGAAAUGCGUAGAUAUUCGGAAGAACACCAGUGGCGAAGGCGACUCCCUGGCCCGAUACUGACGCUGAUGUGCGAAAGCGUGGGGAGCGAACAGGAUUAGAUACCCUGGUAGUCCACGCCGUAAACGAUGUCUACUAGCUGUCGGUGUGUUUGCGACUUGCUGGCGCAACUAAAGCCUUUAACUUCCCCCCUGGGGAGUACCGGCGCCAGAGUAAAACUCAAAGGGAUUU